RNAcentral lists this long non-coding RNA (544 nucleotides) under Hordeum vulgare. Its description in RNAcentral is "long non-coding RNA (HVUL_LNC017564)". Lineage: Eukaryota; Viridiplantae; Streptophyta; Magnoliopsida; Poales; Poaceae. The record is from RNAcentral.
CAAUCCUUUAUCCCUAAGUAUUCCCCUGGAUGCAAUACUUCGUCUCUUAAGUAUUCCAUUGCAGGCAAUACUUCGUCCGUAAGUAUGGUGCUAAAACAGUCAUCCUCCAUGAUUCAACCCUUAUCAAGUUAUCAUCUUUGUGUUCAUUGGAUUCUAUCAACAUCCUGCAGAGGAAAUAAUCGCUGCCUCUGAGUUUCUUGCAGACACGAUGUGCUUGCAUCUGCACGUGUCUUGGAUCAACACUGGAGUGGAGAUGCUACCACCCCGGACUGUACGUCGGGUACAGUAAUGCAGCGAAACGGAAAUUAACCUUGGAACUGGCGCAAGGAAUCCUAUGUUGACGCCUUUCAGCCUUUGCCAUUUGUUGAGACGGCAUUCUUGGCCAACAUCAUGGUACAUGUUUAGUGUUAAUCAACGGUGAUAACGGGGUGAGCCUAAUUCGUCUUUUUUGAUCGAAGUUGUUCGUAUAGACGGACAUACACUCACCUAUGUGAGCACACGCACGUACAUAUACACUAUUCCUGAGUUUAAUCAAAGUUGCCAC